This 78-nucleotide transfer RNA is filed under the name Coprinopsis marcescibilis. It matches the Rfam family "tRNA". Rfam says of the family: Transfer RNA (tRNA) molecules are approximately 80 nucleotides in length. Their secondary structure includes four short double-helical elements and three loops (D, anti-codon, and T loops). Further hydrogen bonds mediate the characteristic L-shaped molecular structure. tRNAs have two regions of fundamental functional importance: the anti-codon, which is responsible for specific mRNA codon recognition, and the 3' end, to which the tRNAs corresponding amino acid is attached (by aminoacyl-tRNA synthetases). tRNAs cope with the degeneracy of the genetic code in two manners: having more than one tRNA (with a specific anti-codon) for a particular amino acid; and 'wobble' base-pairing, i.e. permitting non-standard base-pairing at the 3rd anti-codon position. The record is from Rfam by way of RNAcentral. Lineage: Eukaryota; Fungi; Basidiomycota; Agaricomycetes; Agaricales; Psathyrellaceae.
UCCAAUAUGGUGUAACGGCUAACAUUACCGCCUUUCAUGAGAACGCGGUAGCUCGGGGUUCGAUUCCCCGUAUCGGAA